RNAcentral lists this ribosomal RNA (1327 nucleotides) under uncultured organism. RNAcentral describes it as "16S ribosomal RNA". It matches the Rfam family "Bacterial small subunit ribosomal RNA", at positions 93 to 1427 of the family's 1533-position model. The record is from RNAcentral.
GAGUGGCGAACGGGCGAGGAAUGCGUUUCUAACGUGCCCCAAGGUCGAGGAUAGCUCGGGGAAACCCGGGGUAAUACUCGAUGACCCCCAUGGAUCGCAUGGUUCGUGGGGCAAAGGCUUGCUGCCUUGGGAUCGGGAAACGCCCUAUCAGGUUGUUGGUGAGGUAACGGCUCACCAAGCCUAAGACGGGUAGCGGGUGUGAGAGCAUGACCCGCCGCAUCGGGACUGAGACACUGCCCGGACUCCUACGGGAGGCUGCAGCAACGGAUAUUGGGCAAUGAGCGAAAGCUUGACCCAGCAAUGCCGCGUGCAGGAGGAAGCCCCUCGGGGUGUAAACUGCUGUCAGGGUUUAGGAAGUUCUGACCAAACCCAAAGGAAGGGCCGGCUAACUUCGUGCCAGCAGCCGCGGUAAUACGAAGGGCCCAAGCGUUAAUCGGAAUCACUGGGCUUAAAGGGUGCGCGGGCGGAAUGGUCAGUGUCUUGUGAAAUCCCACGGNUCAACCGUGGAACUGCAGGGCAUACUGCCAUUCUUGAGGCCGGUAGAGGCCGCCGGAACUCUAGGUGUAGCGGUGAAAUGCGUAGAUAUCUAGAGGAACGCCAAAGACGAAGCGUAGGCGGCUGAGCCGGUUCUGACGCUCAGGCACGAAAGCGUGGGGAGCAAAACAGGAUUAGAUACCCUGGUAGUCCACGCCGUAAACGUUGUGCACUAGGUGCUGGAGGUUCUGACACCAUCAGCGCCGAAGCGAAAGUGAUUAGUGCACCGCCUGGGGAGUACGGUCGCAAGGCUAAAACUCAAAGGAAUUGACGGGGGCUCACACAAGCGGUGGAGCAUGUGGCUUAAUUCGAGGCAACGCGAAGAACCUUAUCCUGGGCUUGACAUGCAUGGAUUAACGCUGGGAAACCAGCGCCACACUCUUUGAGUGGAACAUGCACAGGUGCUGCAUGGCUGUCGUCAGCUCGUGCUGUGAAGUGUUGGGUUAAGUCCCUUAACGAGCGAAACCCCUGUCGCUAGUUACCAUCAGGUAAUGCUGGGGACUCUAGCGAGACUGCCGGUGUCAAACCGGAGGAAGGCGGGGAUGACGUCAAGUCCUCAUGGCCUUUAUGCCCAGGGCUGCACACGUGCUACAAUGGCGCCGACAGAGCGAAGCAAAACCGCGAGGUAGAGCAAAUCGCAAAAAAGGUGCCCCAGUUCGGAUUGCAGUCUGCAACUCGACUGCAUGAAGCCGGAAUCGCUAGUAAUCGCGUAUCACGCAACGACGCGGUGAAUACGUUCCUGAGCCUUGUACACACCGCCCGUCAAGUCAUGGAAGCCGGGAGUACCCGAAGU